This 78-nucleotide transfer RNA is filed under the name Actinomycetota bacterium. Its description in RNAcentral is "tRNA-His". It matches the Rfam family "tRNA". From Rfam's summary of the family: Transfer RNA (tRNA) molecules are approximately 80 nucleotides in length. Their secondary structure includes four short double-helical elements and three loops (D, anti-codon, and T loops). Lineage: Bacteria; Bacillati; Actinomycetota. The record is from RNAcentral.
GCGGCCGUAGCUCAGCAUGGUUAGAGCACCUGGUUGUGGUCCAGGAUGUCGCCGGUUCGAAUCCGGUCGGUCGCCCCA